GGUCAAGAAGAGAAGCGCAAACGGUGGAUGCCUUGGCAGUAAGAGGCGAAGAAGGACGUGGAAUCCUGCGAAAAGCUAUGGGGAGCUGGAAACGAGCGUUGAGCCAUAGAUGUCCGAAUGGGGGAACCCGGCUGCAGCGAUGCGGUCAUUUGCAUUUGAAUACAUAGGAUGCAAAGGCGAACUCGGGGAACUGAAACAUCUAAGUACCCGAAGGAAAAGAAAUCAAGAGAGAUUCUCCAAGUAGCGGCGAGCGAACGGGGAGGAGCCUGGCGUGAUUUAUUAUUGAACUGAGUAGAACAAUUUGGGAAAGUUGGCCG
RNAcentral lists this ribosomal RNA (317 nucleotides) under Legionella pneumophila. RNAcentral describes it as "partial 23S ribosomal RNA". It matches the Rfam family "Bacterial large subunit ribosomal RNA", at positions 1 to 357 of the family's 2925-position model. The record is from RNAcentral. RNAcentral also lists the same sequence under 1 other name. Lineage: Bacteria; Pseudomonadati; Pseudomonadota; Gammaproteobacteria; Legionellales; Legionellaceae.